GUUCGAAUAUGCCAGACUUAUUUUAGGUUAAUUUGACCGGAAAUGACUUCAAUUUGCGCACGACACAGAUUUAUUGUUUGUUGACACACCUUUGGACUAUCUUAUUUACAAUCGUAAAGUGUAAGUAAUACAAGCUAGAUACGUUUAUUGAGAGAUUACAAUCCCUUAUUUGACAUAUUUAUGUCUAGUGUGGCUUUUUGUUUUUUUCUUUAGCUAUCCAUUUUCACAUGUAAAAUGUUUGAAAGAGUUCGCAUGUUCGACAGAUACUCUUUGGUCUUCGAUUUCCAAAAAAUAAAUAACCUGUUAUCUCUAAAUAGUUUUAAACUUCCUUGUAAUAGAAAGUAGACGAUAGAAAGUUUCGAAAGUUUGCAUUAGGCCCUUUAUAGUGAAUAAAGCUCCCAAUGUAGUUUUUUGGAACCCAUGACUACCAUAGUAUUAUAUUUUGGAACCAAGUAAACUGUUAAAGACUAAUUUUUUUUCUCCAUAUUCUUAAUGAUAUUUUCGAUAGAAUAGUCAUUCUAUAUUUGUCAGGCAAAACAGAAGUUCCAAUACACCUUUGCUAAUUGUACGUCACAGAAAGGUGUAAUUUCUUUACAUUACCAAGAUCACAAAGGUUCCUGUAAAAUGUCCCCAGAAGAAUCCAGGUCCGUUUGCACCCAUUCAUGUUCGCACCCUAUCACAAUCGCCCCCUUUCACUUUCGCACCCUACACGUUCGCACCCAAUUUUUAUUGGUUUUGUGUAUUCCUAUAAGUAUAUUUGUUGUCAUAGUCCUAAAUUAAAGUGAGACAACGUGGUUUUUUUUUUUUUGUGUUGAAUAAAUCUUAAUCUUGUUUUGGUUAAGUGUCAGAUUGCUAACUUUUAUUUCAUUGUUUCAAAAUAAAGUGAAACUAUGACAACGUAUUGUUUGUGUUGAAUAAAUUUUAAUCAUGUGUUGGAUAGGGCAUUGCUAUGAUUUUUUGUUUCAUUGUUCAAAGGGGCCAAGCUGUUAAAAUCUUUUGUGUUUUUCAUUUAUAAUCUUCAAUGUUUUUACUCAUACCAAACUAAAUACAAUUUUAACAUCAAAUCAAUUAAAAACAACAAUCUUGAUUUUCUAAUUAGGCCAAAUAAAAAUAUAUGUGUGGUUCCAGUAACCCUAAUGUCCCCAUACAGCAUAGUCCAUAGAAAAUUCAUGACGCCACAUUGGCACAAUGGAAAAGUUAUUGUUUUAUGGCAGAUCCUCAGGUCCAGCUUCACUGAUAUUGAUUCUCAAAUAAUGUUAAAGUCUAUGAAAAUCUUGGUACUUAUAUUAUCUAGGAACUUCCAUUUCAUGACAACUUUAUGUAUACAUUGUACGUACAUUGCUGGAAAACAUACAAACUUGGACACCUCUGAAUCUGAGUAUUACUAUGUGUUUCUUUAUUCUACAUUGGUUAGAGGUAUACAUUGUUAUAGGUUGAGGGUUGAGAUCUAACAAAACAUGGUAAACCCCAUCACGCUUUUGUGCCUAUCCCAAGUCAGGAGCUGCUGCCUCCUGGUCUUUGUUAGCCUCAUAUGACCAGUGGCCAAAGUUGCAGACUGUCUUCGUUUGAUCUACAUUGUAGUAUGGUAGUUAGUUAUUUCAUUUAUAAAACAUCAAAAACUACCUGAAAACAAUAUAUACCAUAUUUAUUUAUGUGACACCCAAUCAAACUUAAUUAAUAAAAUCAUUGAGAAAACCUAAUUACAUUGUACAUACUUGUAUGUGCAGAUUUUUCUUAAUGAUACAGGGUUCUCGCUAAGGAUUUUUGAAGGCGAGUCCAGGGACUCGUCAUUUUUAGCCAUGAUGAGUCCAACAGAAGAAGAAAAUAUUUGAUUGCAAUAUAAUUAAUUUUAGUCUCCAUUUCCUAAAGAGCAAUGAAAUGACAUUAAUUCAGAUCACUUUUUAAACUUUUGCUAUAAAUAAUGAUAUUUGUGUUUAACUGUGUUCAGUUUAUACAAAAAUAUUUCAAUCUUGAUGCAUCUGUGGACUCACCAGUUUUGAAAAUGGUGAGUCCAGACAGAUUUUGAUGAGUCCAGGACGCAUGGACUCGCCUUAGUGAGAACCCUGACGAUAUACAAUGUAUAUGAAAGAAAUGUAUCUUUUUAAUUAACCUCAGGAAACAAUUUUUAUAAAAUAAGGGUAACACCAUUCCCCUGUAUCUAAAAUAAAGAUAAACAAAAAAGUUAAAAAAUAUUUGGUGUCAAAUUGACUAACCAAAUACCAUGGCAUAAUGACUAAUCACUAAAUACAAUGACAUUAUGUACAUGAUGUAGACCAUAUGCUAAUUUGACUGGAUUUUGAUUUGACCUGGUGUUGAUUUUACUCUUUCUAUACAAAUACUGUACAUGUAUGCAACUGGAGAUAAAGGUAGUCUAACUGGUUGAGUUAUGGAAGAACUUCUUAUGCUCAGUCGGUUAAGAUAUAUGUAUUAUUCUGCUGGUAGCACAAUGUACAUUGUACAUGUACAACAAAAUGUAUAAUACAUGUACAUAGUAAAUGCUCGCUGCACAAAAAAAGUUAAAAUACAGUAUUUUAACUUUAUUUGUGCAGCGAGUAUUUACUACUGGCACAUAUAAUUGUUUGUGAGUACCUGAUGCUGGGAGACUAUGGAAGAGUGUUGUAUAACUGGAGAUUUGAAAGUAGUCUUACUUGUUUAGUAAAAGUUGGGGAAGAUCUUCUUUGGAUCAGUUAGUAAUAGCGCUGCUUUUAGAACCCAAGAUUAAGAGUUCAAGUCCCUUUGGUACCAUCUGUGUACAUGUACAUGUUAUUGUACAUUGUAUUGCACAAUAAUGUACACUGCAACCAUAUAGGAUAGGGCAGAUCUGAUUGGAUUGAAGAGAAAAUAUAAAUCAUUUGAAAUGUAACUAAGAAAUUAUGUGAUAUUUAAAAUUUAAGACUGAUCAGUCAGCCAAUUAACCUCAAUUCAUGUACUUGUAACUAUUUUGGUUAGGGGUAUUUAAUUACUAUUAGGGCUUGUUUCUCAUCUUGAAAAUGUAUUUCCAGAAAAAAUGUGUCAUUGAAAAGGAACACAUGAGGUAAAAAUGAUGGUCAAAACGUAGAAUUUUCUCUAUAUCAUGAUCAUGAUGAUGUCUUUCUUGCUGUUUAGAAAAAAAUUACAAGUCAUGAACAUACAAUACAACUGUUUUGGAAGCCAUUACAUGAUCAACAAUAAUAUUAUUAUCUUUAUUUGAUAUUUAAUUAAAGAUUUCAGUACGAAAAUAAUAAAUCAUUAUUAUAUUUUGUGACAUAGUUAAAGAACAAUGUAAUCUUAAAAGGUUAUAAAUCUUUGGGUUUUUUUAACUUUCCAAAUCCUUUAUUCUACAAUGACAUAGUUUAACCCUUAGGGGGUUAUGUAAUGAAAUUCUUUACGCAUAUAGAUCAAAAACUGUUAACAUUAAUUUUUAUUGUUCAACAGGCAACCUGAGGUUAGUUGUUUCUUAAGCUACCAUUUAAUACAAUAUGUACAUAGCUACAAUCAUUGUAAUUUGUAUUUCUUAAAAAAAAAGUAAUUAUCAUUUAAAAAAAAAUAUUUGUAAUGAUUUUUUAUACGGCCGCAAAUUUGUGUUUUUUUUUUUUUGUCUAGACUAAUAUUUAUAAGCUAAUAUACACUGUUUAUAAUAUUCAUUUCAAUUAUAUUAUUCUUCCAUUACAGAAUAGUGAAUAUCACAUUAUGUCCAGGCCCAUCCACCACCCUAUCCAGAGAGAAAGG
This 3708-nucleotide long non-coding RNA is filed under the name Mytilus galloprovincialis (Mediterranean mussel). Lineage: Eukaryota; Metazoa; Mollusca; Bivalvia; Mytilida; Mytilidae. The record is from RNAcentral.